Ornithorhynchus anatinus (platypus) is the source of this 73-nucleotide non-coding RNA. NCBI's taxonomy places the organism in Eukaryota, Metazoa, Chordata, Mammalia, Monotremata, Ornithorhynchidae. The record is from Rfam.
AGCAGCGUGGCCCAGUGGAUAGAGCGCGGGCCUGGGAGUCCGAAGGACCUGGGUUCUAAUCCCAGCUCUGCCA